UCAACAUUGGCGUUGUUUGUUGGUUUUUUACGCGAGGCGGACGAUUGUUUUUGUAAAUCGUAUAAUUUACCCGUUCAGUAACUAAAUACUGUUCACAUUUUAAAUAACCGAGACAAAAAACUUAAUUAAUUCGUCGCAUAUUUAUUAUGGCAAAUAUGCGUUGCGCUAUAACUACUUGCAAAAUUUCAUAUCAUAACAAACCACCGGGUGUUACAUUUCAUUCGUGUCCAACCUCCAGUGAAAUGAGAAACAAAUGGCUUAUAUUACUCAAGAAUAAAUGCACUUUACUUGAUUGGGCCAAAAGUAAAAUAUGUUCAAAACAUUUCGAAAACAAAUAUUUUGACUCUCAAAGAAGACUCAAGGAGAAUGCUGUACCGACAUUGUUCCAAAAACAGGUUAAAGUAAUUAAGGAAGAAUAUGCUGCACAGACAAGGAUUGAAAGACUGAUAAAUAAACAAAGUCAAUCAGAGCUUACUAUCGGUGUGAAAAGUGCAAUCAGUGAAUUGCAGGAGCCAGAUGAUGUGAAUGCUUACGUUACGGAUGAUUUAAAAUGCAAAGCUGACGCACCUCAAGAAGUCGAACUGUGGCUGCUGGCCAAAAAACAGGACCAUCUGAUCACAAGGUUGAUGGAACAAAUUUCCCAACAUAAGAAGCAUGUGGAGGUACUUCAAAAGAAAAUGAAUGAAUCCAGAUCAUCCAAGAAAGAAAUGGAAUCAAAUGUGGAGUCUUUAAAGUACAUUGUAAAAUGCCUUCAAGAAAAACAUGCAACUCUUGAAGAACAAAUUGAAAUUUUGACUGCCGUAGAGUCCAGAUAGCAUGUAAUACAAAUACAAACAUUAUGAUACGCAUUUUACAUUGUGUUGCCUGCUAGACUUAAGACAUUUUGAAAAAAUAAGUGUUCUUUUAUUUUUGAAA
Ostrinia nubilalis (European corn borer) is the source of this 915-nucleotide long non-coding RNA. RefSeq lists it as uncharacterized. The record is from RefSeq and is a predicted model, not a curated record. Lineage: Eukaryota; Metazoa; Arthropoda; Insecta; Lepidoptera; Crambidae. The transcript has 3 exons.